Molecule: ribosomal RNA, 262 nt
Filed under: uncultured bacterium
Lineage: Bacteria
Description: partial 16S ribosomal RNA
Rfam family: Bacterial small subunit ribosomal RNA
Source: RNAcentral
CAGCAGCCGCGGUAAUACGGAGGGGGCUAGCGUUGUGCGGAAUUACUGGGCGUAAAGCGCACGUAGGUGGCCUUGUAAGUCAGUGGUGAAAUCUCUGGGCUUAACCCAGAAAUUGCCAUUGAUACUGCAGGGCUUGAGUAUAGAUGCCGUUGGCGGAAUAUGACAUGUAGUGGUGAAAUACAUAGAGAUGUCAUAGAACACCGAUUGCGAAGGCAGCUGACGAAACUAUAACUGACACUGAGGCUCGAAAGUGUGGGGAUCA